CUCCGGGUGGUCUAGUUGGUUCAUGGCGUCCGGCUGUAAUUGCUCAGUUUACCGGAAUGUCGCGUGUUCGAUUCACGCCCUGGAGA
Molecule: transfer RNA, 86 nt
Filed under: Purpureocillium lilacinum
Lineage: Eukaryota; Fungi; Ascomycota; Sordariomycetes; Hypocreales; Ophiocordycipitaceae
Also listed under: 2 other names
Rfam family: tRNA
About the family: Transfer RNA (tRNA) molecules are approximately 80 nucleotides in length. Their secondary structure includes four short double-helical elements and three loops (D, anti-codon, and T loops). Further hydrogen bonds mediate the characteristic L-shaped molecular structure. tRNAs have two regions of fundamental functional importance: the anti-codon, which is responsible for specific mRNA codon recognition, and the 3' end, to which the tRNAs corresponding amino acid is attached (by aminoacyl-tRNA synthetases). tRNAs cope with the degeneracy of the genetic code in two manners: having more than one tRNA (with a specific anti-codon) for a particular amino acid; and 'wobble' base-pairing, i.e. permitting non-standard base-pairing at the 3rd anti-codon position.
Source: Rfam by way of RNAcentral